CAGGUGCUGGGCCUGCCAGCACCACAGACGCGGCUGCCGUGCUGCGCCUGUGAGGCCAGGGCGCAGAGGAAAGGGCUUUUCUACGCUCAGCGCUCAGAGCAGUGGGCACUGAGGAUGGUGUGUAGCCUGACAUGC
Small nucleolar RNA from Pipistrellus kuhlii (Kuhl's pipistrelle), 135 nucleotides. RefSeq annotates it as small nucleolar RNA SNORA43. Lineage: Eukaryota; Metazoa; Chordata; Mammalia; Chiroptera; Vespertilionidae. The record is from RefSeq and is a predicted model, not a curated record. The transcript has a single exon.